RNAcentral lists this ribosomal RNA (664 nucleotides) under Micrococcales bacterium. RNAcentral describes it as "bacterial SSU rRNA". It matches the Rfam family "Bacterial small subunit ribosomal RNA", at positions 877 to 1533 of the family's 1533-position model. The record is from RNAcentral. Lineage: Bacteria; Bacillati; Actinomycetota; Actinomycetes; Micrococcales.
GGAGUACGGCCGCAAGGCUAAAACUCAAAGGAAUUGACGGGGCCCCGCACAAGCGGCGGAGCAUGCGGAUUAAUUCGAUGCAACGCGAAGAACCUUACCAAGGCUUGACAUGUAGGGAAAUCUCAUAGAGAUAUGAGGUCCGUAAGGGUCCUACACAGGUGGUGCAUGGUUGUCGUCAGCUCGUGUCGUGAGAUGUUGGGUUAAGUCCCGCAACGAGCGCAACCCUCGUCCUAUGUUGCCAGCGGGUAAUGCCGGGGACUCAUGGGAGACUGCCGGGGUCAACUCGGAGGAAGGUGGGGAUGAGGUCAAAUCAUCAUGCCCCUUAUGUCUUGGGCUUCACGCAUGCUACAAUGGCCAGUACAAAGGGCUGCGAGACCGUAAGGUGGAGCGAAUCCCAAAAAGCUGGUCUCAGUUCGGAUUGGGGUCUGCAACUCGACCCCAUGAAGUUGGAGUCGCUAGUAAUCGCAGAUCAGCAACGCUGCGGUGAAUACGUUCCCGGGGCUUGUACACACCGCCCGUCACGUCACGAAAGUCGGUAACACCCGAAGCCGGUGGCCCAACCCUUGUGGAGGGAGCCGUCGAAGGUGGGACUGGCGAUUGGGACGAAGUCGUAACAAGGUAGCCGUACCGGAAGGUGCGGCUGGAUCACCUCCUUUCUAAGGAG